RNAcentral lists this ribosomal RNA (268 nucleotides) under uncultured Pseudomonas sp. RNAcentral describes it as "partial 16S ribosomal RNA". It matches the Rfam family "Bacterial small subunit ribosomal RNA", at positions 1115 to 1382 of the family's 1533-position model. Lineage: Bacteria; Pseudomonadati; Pseudomonadota; Gammaproteobacteria; Pseudomonadales; Pseudomonadaceae. The record is from RNAcentral.
UUACCAGCACGUUAUGGUGGGCACUCUAAGGAGACUGCCGGUGACAAACCGGAGGAAGGUGGGGAUGACGUCAAGUCAUCAUGGCCCUUACGGCCUGGGCUACACACGUGCUACAAUGGUCGGUACAAAGGGUUGCCAAGCCGCGAGGUGGAGCUAAUCCCAUAAAACCGAUCGUAGUCCGGAUCGCAGUCUGCAACUCGACUGCGUGAAAUCGGAAUCACUAGUAAUCGUGAAUCAGAAUGUCACGGUGAAUACGUUCCCGGGCCUU